UGGGUUAAGUCCCGCAACGAGCGCAACCCUUGUUCCUAGUUGCCAGCAUUGAGUUGGGCACUCUAGGGAGACUGCCGGUGACAAACCGGAGGAAGGUGAGGAUGACGUCAAGUCAGCAUGCCCCUUACGCUCUGGGCUACACACGUGCUACAAUGGCGCGGACAAAGGGUCGCGAGCGCGCGAGCGUGAGCCAACCCCAAAAACCGCGUCUCAGUUCAGAUCGCAGGCUGCAACUCGCCUGCGUGAAGGCGGAAUCGCUAGUAAUCGCAGAUCAGCAUGCUGCGGUGAAUACGUUCCCGGGCCUUGUACACACCGCCCGUCACACCAUGGGAGCUGGCCAUGCCCGAAGUCGGAGCACCCGCCGAAGGCAGGGCUGGUGACUGGGGUGAAGUCGUAACAAGGUAGCCGUACCGGAAGGUGCGGCUGGAUCACCUCCUUU
This 439-nucleotide ribosomal RNA is filed under the name uncultured cyanobacterium. RNAcentral's name for it is "bacterial SSU rRNA". It matches the Rfam family "Bacterial small subunit ribosomal RNA", at positions 1076 to 1533 of the family's 1533-position model. The record is from RNAcentral. Lineage: Bacteria; Bacillati; Cyanobacteriota.